This 461-nucleotide ribosomal RNA is filed under the name uncultured bacterium. RNAcentral's name for it is "bacterial SSU rRNA". It matches the Rfam family "Bacterial small subunit ribosomal RNA", at positions 28 to 483 of the family's 1533-position model. The record is from RNAcentral.
GAUGAACGCUAGCGGCAGGCCUAAUACAUGCAAGUCGAACGCUCAGUAGCAAUACUGGGAGUGGCGCACGGGUGCGUAACGCGUACACAAUCUACCUCUAAGCGGGGGACACCUCCUGGAAACGGGGAUUAAUACCGCAUAAUAUGCCGAAGUCGCAUGACUUUGGUAUUAAAGCAGCAAUGCACUUAGAGAUGAGUGUGCGUCCCAUUAGGUAGUUGGUGAGGUAACGGCUCACCAAGCCUAUGAUGGGUAGCCGGUCUGAGAGGAUGGUCGGCCACACGGGCACUGAGACACGGGCCCGACUCCUACGGGAGGCAGCAGUGGGGAAUUUUGGACAAUGGGCGAAAGCCUGAUCCAGCCAUGCCGCGUGCAGGAUGAAGGCCUUCGGGUUGUAAACUAGCUUUUGUUACGGAACGAAAAGAACUACUGGUUAAUACCUGGGUCCGAUGACGGUACCGUAA